UCAAACUUGGUCAUUUAGAGGAAGUAAAAGUCGUAACAAGGUUUCCGUAGGUGAACCUGCGGAAGGAUCAUUAUCGAAAUCGAAGGGCGUAGGAAGGGAACGUCGGGCGAGGGGACUGUCGCUGGCCUUGGGCAUCGUGCACGUCCUCUCUGCCCUUCUGACCCUCCGAAGCUCUUUCAACCUUUUCCACACCGUGUGCACCCUCUGUAGGUCCUUCGGGACCUAUGUUUUUCUCCCACAAACACGCAUGUCCAUAGAAUGUCUCAGUCGUGUCCGUCGAUCAGACCCUCAGGGUCUGCGUCGGCGACCUUCUAAACCUCGUACAACUUUCAGCAAUGGAUCUCUUGGCUCUCGCAUCGAUGAAGAACGCAGC
This 373-nucleotide unclassified non-coding RNA is filed under the name uncultured fungus. RNAcentral's name for it is "partial contains small subunit ribosomal RNA, internal transcribed spacer 1, and 5.8S ribosomal RNA". The stretch from base 1 to 73 matches the Rfam family "Eukaryotic small subunit ribosomal RNA", at positions 1759 to 1831 of the family's 1831-position model. Lineage: Eukaryota; Fungi. The record is from RNAcentral.